CCCUUAGAUGUCCGGGGCCGCACGCGCGCUACACUGAAGGAAUCAGCGUGGCUUUCUCCCUGACCCGAAAGGGUUGGGAAACCCGUUGAAUCUCCUUCGUGAAAGGGAUUGGGGCUUGAAAUUGUUCCCCAUGAACGAGGAAUUCCCAGUAAGCGCGAGUCAUAAGCUCGCGUUGAUUACGUCCCUGCCCUUUGUACACACCGCCCGUCGCUACUACCGAUUGAACGGUUUAGUGAGGGCCUCGGAUUGGUCUCGGCCCGCUCUUUACCGGGCGGCGCCGUUGGUCGAGAAGACGCUCGAACUUGAUCGUUUAGAGGAAGUAAAAGUCGUAACA
Molecule: ribosomal RNA, 334 nt
Filed under: uncultured eukaryote
Lineage: Eukaryota
Description: partial 18S ribosomal RNA
Rfam family: Eukaryotic small subunit ribosomal RNA
Source: RNAcentral